AUCUCAUCACAAAUAAAUCUGGUCAAAAGCACUAGGCAUUUCUAUCUGCUGUCUAAGAUGGGUACCAUUGCUCAGCUACUUUCCUAGACAUAAAGCAAGAGAAAAAUUGUGACAACAUUAGAGAAAAGUGAUGGGAAGAUAACUGAAGGACAGAGAAGAGCCUCCAACAGGCUGAAAAGGAAAAAAAAAUCUCUCAGUUUCCGUCUCUCCACUACAGAUGCAGACCUGUGACAGAACAUAUAGAAUGCCCUGCAGGUCCAGGGAGCAGAGUCUCUGAUCUGGCUUGCAAAUGCCAACCCUAGAGAUCCAGCAUCCAGGAAUCCAGGGUAGAGGUUUCAGCUAGCUCAGCAGUGAUGCUCUGAGGCUACUCCAGCCCCGAAGAAGUCAGCACUACUGUCUUUGGACUUGAACUUGGUGGGCCUAAUGCUAUGCAGUAACUGAACUAAGUUGGGAGCCAAAUCUACCCCCCCACCAACCCCCACACUAAGCCUGCAAUAUAUUGAAGAAAAUGUUUGUAUAUUCAUUCUUGCUGUAUCCUCUAAGUAAAUAUACCUUUGUAAAAGCUAAUUUGGGCGGGGGGGGGGCAUCUAGGUGGCGCAGUG
Non-coding RNA from Phascolarctos cinereus (koala), 602 nucleotides. The record is from RefSeq and is a predicted model, not a curated record. NCBI's taxonomy places the organism in Eukaryota, Metazoa, Chordata, Mammalia, Diprotodontia, Phascolarctidae.